GUUGUGGACGUGGAGCUCCUUUCGGUCCAAAAAGGGGUUUUGCUGGGGGUCGAUUGAGCUGCUGGGUCAUGGAUCCCGUUAGCCUACUCCAUGCUACGAGCUUAUUCCGCUCAAGAUCUGAAAAGAAACCACUCCAGUACUUGCUUUUGGGAUAGGCUUACGGCUUGCAUGCCCCAGGAGCUGCAUCAGCCCUACAUGGACCCUCUUUGGAUUGAAGGGAGCUCUGCAUCUUUGCUCC
Molecule: microRNA precursor, 238 nt
Filed under: Leersia perrieri
Lineage: Eukaryota; Viridiplantae; Streptophyta; Magnoliopsida; Poales; Poaceae
Description: pre miRNA MIR159
Rfam family: MIR159 microRNA precursor family
Source: Rfam by way of RNAcentral